UACGUAGGGUGCAAGCGUUGUCCGGAAUUAUUGGGCGUAAAGAGCUCGUAGGCGGUUUGUCGCGUCUGCCGUGAAAGUCCGGGGCUCAACUCCGGAUCUGCGGUGGGUACGGGCAGACUAGAGUGAUGUAGGGGAGACUGGAAUUCCUGGUGUAGCGGUGAAAUGCGCAGAUAUCAGGAGGAACACCGGUGGCGAAGGCGGGUCUCUGGGCCGAUACUGACGCUGAGGAGCGAAAGCAUGGGUAGCGAACAGG
Molecule: ribosomal RNA, 253 nt
Filed under: uncultured bacterium
Lineage: Bacteria
Description: partial 16S ribosomal RNA
Rfam family: Bacterial small subunit ribosomal RNA
Source: RNAcentral